Molecule: ribosomal RNA, 358 nt
Filed under: uncultured bacterium
Lineage: Bacteria
Description: bacterial SSU rRNA
Rfam family: Bacterial small subunit ribosomal RNA
Source: RNAcentral
AACGAACGCUGGCGGCGCGCUUAACACAUGCAAGUCGAACGAGAAGGCGUAGCAAUACGCUUGUACAGUGGCGAACGGGUGAGUAAUACGUGGGCGACCUACCCUCGAGUGGGGAAUAACCCGCCGAAAGGCGGGCUAAUGCCGCGUACGCUUCCAUCUUUAUGGAGGUGGAAGGAAAGCCGUGCCGUGGGCACGGCGCUCAAGGAUGGGCUCACGUCCUAUCUAGCUUGUUGGAGGGUAACGGCCUACCAAGGCUCCGACGGGUAGCUGGUCUGAGAGGACGAUCAGCCACACUGGCACUGCGACACGGGCCAGACUCCUACGGGAGGCAGCAGUGAGGAAUAUUGCGCAAAUGGGC